CAACCCUCAGGUCCCCUUAGGGCGUGCCUGGUGUUGGGGAUCGGCGGCUGGCUGGGACGGUCUCUCCUCCUGGGGGAAGCCGCCCGCCCCCGCCGCCCCCGAAAUGAAUUGGCGGUCUCGUCGCGGCCUCCUCUGCGUAGUAGCACACAACCUCGCAGCAGGGAGCGCGGCGCGGCGACUGCCGUAAAACGCACCAAAACUCCUCAG
This 207-nucleotide unclassified non-coding RNA is filed under the name uncultured Hypocreales. RNAcentral's name for it is "sequence contains ITS2". The record is from RNAcentral. Lineage: Eukaryota; Fungi; Ascomycota; Sordariomycetes; Hypocreales.